CGCGGCCUAUCAGCUUGUUGGUGAGGUAACGGCUCACCAAGGCAUCGACGGGUAGCUGGUCUGAGAGGAUGAUCAGCCACACUGGGACUGAGACACGGCCCAGACUCCUACGGGAGGCAGCAGUGGGGAAUAUUGCACAAUGGGCGCAAGCCUGAUGCAGCAACGCCGCGUGCGGGAUGAAGGCCCUAGGGUUGCAAACCGCUUUCAGCAGGGAAGAAAAUGACGGUACCUGCAGAAGAAGGUGCGGCCAACUACGUGCCAGCAGCCGCGGUGACACGUAGGCACCAAGCGUUGUCCGGAUUUAUUGGGCGUAAAGAGCUCGUAGGCGGUUCAGUAAGUCGGGUGUGAAAACUCUGGGCUCAACCCAGAGACGCCACCCGAUACUGCUGUGACUUGAGUACGGUAGGGGAGCGGGGAAUUCCUGGUGUAGCGGUGAAAUGCGCAGAUAUCAGGAGGAACACCAGUGGCGAAGGCGCCGCUCUGGGCCGUAACUGACGCUGAGGAGCGAAAGCGUGGGUAGCAAACAGGAUUAGAUACCCUGGUAGUCCACGCCGUAAACGUUGGGCACUAGGUGUGGGUCUCAACCAACGAGAUCCGCGCCGUCGCUAACGCAUUAAGUGCCCCGCCUGGGGAGUACGG
RNAcentral lists this ribosomal RNA (639 nucleotides) under uncultured Actinomycetes bacterium. RNAcentral describes it as "bacterial SSU rRNA". It matches the Rfam family "Bacterial small subunit ribosomal RNA", at positions 232 to 885 of the family's 1533-position model. The record is from RNAcentral. Lineage: Bacteria; Bacillati; Actinomycetota; Actinomycetes.